CAGUAGCCGCGGUAAUACGAAGGGGGCUAGCGUUGUUCGGAUUUACUGGGCGUAAAGCGCACGUAGGCGGACUUUUAAGUCAGGGGUGAAAUCCCGGGGCCCAACCCCGGAACUGCCUUUGAUACUGGAAGUCUUGAGUAUGGUAGAGGUGGGUGGAAUUCCGAGUGUAGAGGUGAAAUUCGUAGAUAUUCGGAGGAACACCAGUGGCGAAGGCGGCUCACUGGACCAUUACUGACGCUGAGGUGCGAAAGCGUGGGGAGCAAACAGGAUUAGAUACCCCCGUAGUCCCUGUCUCUUAUAC
RNAcentral lists this ribosomal RNA (301 nucleotides) under uncultured bacterium. RNAcentral's name for it is "partial 16S ribosomal RNA". It matches the Rfam family "Bacterial small subunit ribosomal RNA", at positions 509 to 807 of the family's 1533-position model. The record is from RNAcentral.